GCCAGGCACGAUAGUAUGUGCCUGUAGUCCCAGCUACUCGGGAGGCUGAGGCUGGAGGAUUGCUUGAGCCCAGGAGUUCUGGGCUGUAGUGCGCUAUGCCAAUUGGGUGUCCACACUAAGUUUGGCAUCAAUAUGGUGACCUCCCAGGAGUGGGGGACCACCAGGUUGCCUAAGGAGGGGUAAACCAGCCCAGGUCAGAAACGGAGCAGGUCAAAACUCCCGUGCUGUUCAGUAGUGGGAUCGCGCCUGUGAAUAGCCACUGCACUCCAGCCUGGGCAACAUAGCAAGACCCAGUCUCA
This 299-nucleotide signal recognition particle RNA is filed under the name Cebus imitator (Panamanian white-faced capuchin). RNAcentral's name for it is "Metazoan signal recognition particle RNA (ENSCCAG00000011187.1)". It matches the Rfam family "Metazoan signal recognition particle RNA". From Rfam's summary of the family: The signal recognition particle (SRP) is a universally conserved ribonucleoprotein. Lineage: Eukaryota; Metazoa; Chordata; Mammalia; Primates; Cebidae. The record is from RNAcentral.